Molecule: ribosomal RNA, 119 nt
Filed under: Bos taurus (domestic cattle)
Lineage: Eukaryota; Metazoa; Chordata; Mammalia; Artiodactyla; Bovidae
Source: RNAcentral
GUCUAAGGCCAUAGCACCCUGAAUGCGCCCUAUCUCAUCUGAUCUCGGAAGCUAAGCAGGGUCGGGCCUGGUUAGUACUUGGGUGGGAGACCGCCUGGGCAUACCGGGUGCUGUAGGCU